AAAAUGAAGAAGGCCCGUAAAAGUCCCAAAAAAGAACGAGACGAAAAAAAGAAGAAACAAACAUGUUGUUGUGUUGCUUUUUAACCGAUUUAUUUUGGGACUACAUCUUCCUCUUCUGUAAUCC
RNAcentral lists this non-coding RNA (124 nucleotides) under Protocruzia adhaerens. Lineage: Eukaryota; Ciliophora; Spirotrichea. The record is from RNAcentral.